UUCCCGGCCGCUCCCAGGACGAGCUUCCUGACGGCCCGCAGGAGGCGCUCGCGUGCCCUCCUCGUCCCGCUCCGGACGGAGCUGGCGAGGCCACGGACGGGGCCGCCCACCUCGCUCCAAGUUUGUACGCUCUCCAGUUGAUGGGGGUCUUUGUAAAGGGCAAGUAGAAUUAAGAAACCGGGAGCUGGCGAGAUGGCAAGGCGGUUGCGGGGCGCUUGAUCUUGCAGAGUUCCCGGGUUCGAGUCCGAGCUCACAAGGUUGGAUAAGCUGAGAGAGUACGACCUGUUGAUAAGUCGUUUUGAAAGUGAGGCUAUGAGCAACAGUAAAUAAGAUAUGCUCCAAAUUCUAAAGGAAUACAGCAUAGAAGAGGAGCGGAGCGGGCCACAAGACAGCAAAGGAUUCUGCCUGAGCCAGGGGAAGGGCUGUGGGCCAGGGAAGAUUUUCUGGAACUAAUGACCAACAGUCCGAAUUUACUCAGUGGAGUCACGACUGUUGAAUGUGCCUGCUGGACUGAAUAAGCCAAGCUGGAACAGAUGAGCUGUUUUUCUAACCGUGGUUCUGAUGAUGUCCUCACGUCGGCGGUGAGGAGCCCAGGAGCUGUGGGUUCUUUUCGGAAACAGCUGGGCAGCUGAGAAUAGAGCAGGGCCAAAGGCGCCUCUCUGAGCUCCGCACGUGCUCUGAGGUGCCAAGGAAGCCUCUGCUCUUACUCAGAUAACGGCGAUAGCACAAUCCCACGAUGCCAAAUGCCACGCGCAUAUCCUGAGGAUGAGGUCAGUGUCUUCCAGUCAAUGAGACGAUCCGGUUCCCGGGGUUGCACACGCGAGCCCUGCUCAGGGAUGCCUGCUGCAGAAGCAUUCACUGCUCUCCUUGGAAACCACCUGCUCCCUCCAAAUCCAGAUCUCCCAGUGACAUUUCGUGAGGUUUCUGGAGUUCAUCCCCACAGAAGAGGAACGGAUGCAAAGGGUUUGCCGAACUGAGACAUCAAGACACCAUUUUCUUGUUUUUCAUCAGUCAGUGACGCGGAUGGGCAUGUCUGUGCCACUCUGAUUCCCUAUGUUCCCGACUUGGUGCUCAUUUGCCAGGGUCCUGCCUCUGGAGAGUCCUGGAGGAAAAGAUCUCACAGUCUAAAAAUCAAGGAUCCAUUCCUCAGAAACUUCUUGGGGUGUGUGCGGAUGAGGACCGUCCUCCACGCUCCCAGCUGAUGGCUGGCUCUUCAGGAGCUAUGUGGUACAGAGAGGAGGAGAGAGAGUGAGACAAAGACAAUGGGCUGAACUUCUGGGAUGGCCUUUCAGGGCUCGCUGCUCUCCUUUGAUGAACUAACCCUGACUGGAGGAUGCUGACGUGGGCUAGCAGGCUUUUAUGCUUUUGACUGUAAGCACUGGCUUACUUUGGGAAAUUUUUUUUUCACCUGAAAAAAAUGUAUUUAAUUUUAUGUGUGG
Peromyscus californicus insignis is the source of this 1439-nucleotide long non-coding RNA. RefSeq lists it as uncharacterized. The record is from RefSeq and is a predicted model, not a curated record. NCBI's taxonomy places the organism in Eukaryota, Metazoa, Chordata, Mammalia, Rodentia, Cricetidae. The transcript is spliced from 3 exons.